This is a long non-coding RNA of Portunus trituberculatus (swimming crab), 782 nucleotides long. RefSeq lists it as uncharacterized. NCBI's taxonomy places the organism in Eukaryota, Metazoa, Arthropoda, Malacostraca, Decapoda, Portunidae. The record is from RefSeq and is a predicted model, not a curated record. The transcript has 3 exons.
UUUGGAGGGGCGUGGUCAAGGUGGAAAAGGUAAGAAGGAAGGUAUUCUCAUUUGAUUUCCGGCCAGCAGUCAGUAAGCCUCGCCCACCAUGACCUCUGCAUACGUCGCCCUCCUUGGUAUCCUCAGUCCAUGUAUUGAAGAGAAGGGGCAACUCAAGCUCUGAUGCACCACCAACUCCACCAUCAUCACCGCCAUCUUCUCCACUCUCCAGCAGCCUAGCAUUACCUCCUACUGUCCACGGCCUGCUAUCUGUGCCCCGCCUUUUGACGCCAGCCUGUCUAACCAGCGAGGACUGAUACUGCUUUCCUGUCUUAUACAGUUCAUCACCAGUGCAGUCUGAAGGAGAGAGAGACGUUAGCAUGUCUAACCAGCGAGGACUGAUACCGCCAUCCUGCCAGCCUGUCUUCUGCAAUUCAUCACCAGUGCAGUCAGACGGAUAGGGACGCCAGCCUGUCUAACUAACGAGGACUAAUACUGCCAUCCUGCUGCCCUGCCAUCUUGUCUUCUGCAAUUUAUCACCAGUGCGGCCUGACGGAGAGGGACACCAGCCUGCACUUCUGCUAUUGUUGUUUGACUUUGCCCUAUCCUGUCCUACACUUGCUAUAUGGUGGACGUGACUGUCUGUACGUAGUGUGUGUGUUCUAAGAGUUCAAGGACUCCUCCCAUUGUUUUUUUUUUUUUUUUAUGAUUUUGUUUUGGUGGAAAUGCGCCGAGCUUGUCUCCGGAGAGUCUGCGAGGUAUCGAUAUACAAGAGGGCCGAGUGAAUAAAGGUGAAGGGAAGU